AUGCAUCUGUCUUCCUCCAGGCACGAGUACAGGCCGUGGACGGGGGCGAGACCGGCCAAGAGUGCGAGGAGAAACCCUCCAGCUCAGUACUCCAGUCCGGGGACGGAGGCCACAAAAGUCCCACGUGAGACCAGCUACCAGGCCGCCUACAGCGGGGACGCCCAGAGGUCCAUAGGGCCGCAUCAGGGGGAGCACAUCAUCCCAUCCGCCAGCACCUACAUACAACCUGCUGCCGUCCCCCAGCCCGUCCCCACCGCCCUGCAGGCCGGCAGCACACCGAGCCCCUCCGGCCUCCAGCAGAGCAUCCCACCCGAGAGGGCUGAGAUCAGCGGAACGACCAAGGGAGAGGAACAUCUGGUAAGGACCAAGCUCCCUCCCAACCCGUCCGCCGUCUUCCAAAGCGGAUCGAGGGUCUUCAACAUCUGACAGCUGCUCCCCAAUUUUCCAACCAUUCCACUUCGAUCGGUUUCAGUUUUAAGGAAUCAACAGGGGAAUGAUUUCCAGUCCAUUCCACAAACACAAGAAUCUAUGCAAGGGAAUGUAUUGUUGUGAAGCCUGUGGAGCUGCAGCGUCAGUAUCCCUCCUCCUCCUCCUCCUCCUCCUCCUCCUCCCUUCUCUUUGCCCCUGUUCGCUGUGGAAAUGAACAUGCAUGUAACGAAAUAGUUUUAAAAACAAGCUUUUUUUUUUGUCGUUGUUUUGUUAUAGAUGCACACAAGAAACUGCCUGCUCUGUGUGGUAGUGUGUGUGAGUUUGUGUGUGUGUGUGUGAGUGUGUGUGUCCUUCUGUUGUACAUGAUGUUGAGUCUGCUCCAGUAACGAAUGACGCGGUCGGUGGUUAAGUGUGUAUGCUUAAAGACGUCGACCCCCUCGGUGUUGCUAGAAAUCUGCUUGAAAAAAAAAAAAAAAGAAAAAAAGAAAGUUAUUUAUUUCCUCAGUAUUCAGUUAGUUUGCUAUUUUGAGAAAACAGUAUUGUUCGGUCUAUUAUUUUGUAAAUCUAUUGUUAAAAGAAAAAAAAUAAAAAGCAAAUAAUCAUGUAAGUGAAAUUCCAAUAAAAGAAUAAUAGGUUCUUAGCACUUUCUAUCAGAUGUCACGCUGCUCGUUUUCUUUCUGUGACGCACAGUUCAGGCCGGUGUUCGUGUUUCAGAGGAUUUGAUGAAUAGAUGACUAAUCACAGUCAUCUGCUGUUAUACCAAAGGUCGACUAAUGGGAAGGUAGAUGUUCAAAAGUCGCAAAAAUUACAGCUGACUAGCAAUUUGACGAGCGUGACUGGCAAUCACAGGAUAUUUAUGUUCGUUUGACUGCCCCUUUUCUCUUUAUAUUCAGUGUUCAUUCAGCAGUACACUCAAAUCACAAACACAACAACAACUGCCUCAACAGAUACAACUAAAACGAUGGAGGUGAAUACAAAUUUGGUUAUGGUUGAAUUCAAGAGAAGUUUCAAUGAGUAAUUCUAGUAAAUAUGCUUGUUUGGCGUCUUUUGGGGAGUUAGGCGAGAGACCAACGCCAUUCUCCAUGUCCUUGUUAAGUAUGGCACAAAAGAAAACAAGGUGGUUAGCUUAGCUUAGCUUAGCUUAGCACACAGUAAAGGCUUAAAGGAUAACUCCACCAGUUUUACAAAUUAAAGGUUGUUUACAGAUCCGUGGAAACACAACACCAGUGUAAAGCCUUCUCAGGCUCCAGAGGAAGCUGCAUGUAAUCAGAUGAGCUGCCUUCCAGUGAUGUCAAUGGCAGGUGCAUCAUGGGUAAUGUAGGCGCCAGGUUCUGAAAAGCAGUCUACCGCUCUAGCGUUGCACUCCUAUAACACUGUUGAACUCAUUAUGGGCAGCAGAACCAGAGAUAUCACCGUUUAUUCCACGCUUUCUUUUCUCUCGUAUCUUUUCAAAACCCAAUGCCUACAUUACCCACAAUGCAAUUCAGCCACUGAGUGACAUCACUAGAGGCAAUUGUGCAGCUUCCUCUGGAGCCACAAAAUGCUUUAUACUACUUUUUCACAUAGGUGGCUCUCCCCAAAACCUGUACAUAUACCUUAAUGUGUCAAAUCUGAGAAAGUUGCAGUUCCCCUUUAAGACAAAGGGAAAGAAUCGAACCUUACUUAUUAAAGUGACUCAGGAAUUAACUCUCCUGUCUUUAAAGCAUUUUGUUCCCUGUCAACCACAGUUAAGUACAGAAUAAAUCAAAUUGGAUACAAUCAUAUUUGUUUGCCUUUGGACAGAGCUGAUUUCCCACGGCUACCUACUUCUUUACACUGGGCUAAUUAUCUUUGGCUAAUUCAGAGCAGACAGGAGUGCUAUCGAUCUUCUCAUCGAACUCUCAGCCGGAAAGCAAACAAGACCACUUCCCAAAGUGUCUAACUAUUUUUUCCGAGCAGCAGAAUUCACCAGCAUCGUCUCUUCGAGGAAGCGAUGUUGCCGUACUCUAGAUGAUCCAGAACCUCUCUGUCUGUCAUCUGUUUAACAAAGUAUCAAGUCGUUCCUAUGAAAAAUGUUCACAAUGAGCUCUGAGGAUUAUCCUGACUGGCACUGAUACUGUUUGACAGACGGAUCAGUCUCAGCUGUACUGAAGUGGCUGCAGAAGUCUUAUAUGCCACCAACUCAGCUCUGGUUCUUGAACAAAUUCUGGGUAAGACUCUUAUAACCUUGGUGUCAUCCAACAAACUGGGGUUUCCACCGGUUUCGACUGGAACUGUUGUAAUAAUGAACGCAUCAUCAAUGGAGGGUAUUGCACAAUACACACAACACUCAGUUCACACUUCAGGUCAAGGAAAACCGGCUAUUUUUGGGUCCAGGUGGGAACCAGGUUCUAAACAAAUUCACUUUAUUUGAAAUGUUCUGAAUGGUUCAAAAUGUUGGUGCGCUAACCAGAAUAGAACCAGCUUCAUGUUGUUGUACAAGCUCCCAUAGAAAGACUUUCAGGAUUAAACCAAACUAUAUGUGGCUCAAUAAUGAGAGGUUAGGGGGGAAAUGUGUUUUUACGUAAUGGUCCUUUAACUGGUGUGAGCAUAUGAGAUUCUCCAGAUAGUCGUCUCCAGUAAAUCCUCAUAUGUUAAUAAAACAAAUCAACAUGUUCAACACAAGACACGUGAAUAAUGAAAUAAUACAACCAGCAGUUUUUCUUUGUUUAUUACAAGAAUAUUGAUUAUAUUUUUGGUUUGCACUGAAACAUGAAAAUACAACGGUGUCUUCUACACUAGUUUGGUUGCACAGGCAUCACAACCACUCAGGCCAAACACUUCCACUCGUCCACAGUCAUCCACACAUUAACAUAAUGCAAAGCUCCACAUGAAACAGAAUUACUACAUCAGCUGACGAAAACACAAACGAGCACUCACAACUCAUCAAAUUCAAUAACGUUCUGUGAUGACUACAUCCACUAUCCACAUAUUCACAUAUUCACACACUCACACACACUCGCUGCUGUUUGGGCGUUACUGUUUGCAGGGUAAAAAAAUAAAACAGGAUUUUGAAAACACCAUCUAUUUCAUAUUGGUCAUACACACUGUGUACAUUACGUGACAGAUACAUUAACAGUUGUUAAACAGAACACUUAAAAGCAGUUCUUUCAACUGGCUAUCAAACCUGAUUGGUGAGGGAGAGAAGAUAAAUAUUUAGAGUGAUGUCUUGAAUUCAUAUCGACAGUAACAGAUUUGAUGAAAUCUCAACUUAAAAACAACCAACUUGCCUCGGUUACCUCUUCUGAAGAGGUUUUGAAAACAGCUGUGAGCCAUAAUUACCUCUGCCAGGUAACACUGAAAUACAUCAAAGGGUGUUCGAAAUGACAGAUCAGAAUCUUCUCUGUUUGCCUCGCCCGAAGCUCCCGCCAGACAUGGAUACAGACUUCUAAUACUCAUUAGUGUUUCCACCUCGCUGUAAAUCUGCUCCACCUCUGCUGGUGAACCAAAUCUUGUUCCUAGUUCAGGGAGAACGUCCCAGCAGGAUGAAGAACGGAGGGGACAGCUGUCGCAUGUUCGCGUUUAGUCCUGUAAGUCACUCAGGCUUCAUUUCCCCGGUGACUAGCAGGCUGUCUGGCGGGAAACACUUCAUCAUUAAAAUAAUCUUGUUCUGAGGUAAGCGAGAGCAAGACAGCAUCUCAAAAUCAAAUAACGCGAGUCCCACAAUGCGGCUUCUCUCGAUAGAUUAGGACUAAAAUGUUACAAUAUACCCAGAGUGUUAGAAACAUUUGUUAUUCUGCUGCUGUGAGAAGCAAGCUGAGCCCUUCUAUGAUCAAGUUAAUGAAUACAGUACAUUAGUUAUAACUCUGUAACCUGAGGCAGCAGGACUACUUCCAGGUGUGAAGCUUCACACAGUAGCGCUGUCAGUUCACCAAGUCUCUCCAUCGUAAGCAGCAGUUCAGAUGGUCCUCACAUCCCCGUUUGUGUCAGUCACCAUGUC
Molecule: long non-coding RNA, 4387 nt
Filed under: Sparus aurata (gilthead seabream)
Lineage: Eukaryota; Metazoa; Chordata; Actinopteri; Spariformes; Sparidae
Description: lncRNA (ENSSAUG00010023458.1)
Source: RNAcentral